RNAcentral lists this ribosomal RNA (491 nucleotides) under uncultured bacterium. RNAcentral's name for it is "bacterial SSU rRNA". It matches the Rfam family "Bacterial small subunit ribosomal RNA", at positions 44 to 524 of the family's 1533-position model. The record is from RNAcentral.
AGGCCUAACACAUGCAAGUCGAGCGGUAGCACAAGAGAGCUUGCUCUCUGGGUGACGAGCGGCGGACGGGUGAGUAAUGUCUGGGAAACUGCCUGAUGGAGGGGGAUAACUACUGGAAACGGUAGCUAAUACCGCAUAACGUCUACGGACCAAAGUGGGGGACCUUCGGGCCUCAUGCCAUCAGAUGUGCCCAGAUGGGAUUAGCUAGUAGGUGGGGUAAUGGCUCACCUAGGCGACGAUCCCUAGCUGGUCUGAGAGGAUGACCAGCCACACUGGAACUGAGACACGGUCCAGACUCCUACGGGAGGCAGCAGUGGGGAAUAUUGCACAAUGGGCGCAAGCCUGAUGCAGCCAUGCCGCGUGUGUGAAGAAGGCCUUCGGGUUGUAAAGCACUUUCAGCGAGGAGGAAGGGUUCAGUGUUAAUAGCACUGUUCAUUGACGUUACUCGCAGAAGAAGCACCGGCUAACUCCGUGCCAGCAGCCGCGGUAAU